GUGGGGAAUAUUGGACAAUGGGCGAAAGCCUGAUCCAGCAAUGCCGCGUGUGUGAAGAAGGCCCUCGGGUCGUAAAGCACUUUCAGUGGGGAGGAAAGACACUGUGUUAAUAACAUAGUGGGUUGACGUUACCCACAGAAGAAGCACCGGCUAACUCUGUGCCAGCAGCCGCGGUAAUACAGAGGGUGCAAGCGUUAAUCGGAAUUACUGGGCGUAAAGAGCACGUAGGUGGUUAUUUAAGUCAGAUGUGAAAGCCCCGGGCUUAACCUGGGAAUGCCAUUUGAGACUGGAUAACUAGAGUACAGGAGAGGGAAGUGGAAUUUCCGGUGUAGCGGUGAAAUGCGUAGAUAUCGGAAGGAACACCAGUGGCGAAGGCGGCUUCCUGGCCUGAUACUGACACUGAGGUGCGAAAGCGUGGGUAGCAAACAGGAUUAGAAACCCUAGUAGUCC
This 450-nucleotide ribosomal RNA is filed under the name uncultured bacterium. RNAcentral describes it as "bacterial SSU rRNA". It matches the Rfam family "Bacterial small subunit ribosomal RNA", at positions 354 to 796 of the family's 1533-position model. The record is from RNAcentral.